CUAGAUAGAUAUAGGAAGAUGUGGUGUGAGUGCCAAUGAGACAACUCUCCAUACAAAUAACAAUUUAAAAAGUAAACCAUUAUAGGUUAAAGUACGGCCUUCAACACCGAACAACAAGCUAUAAAGGGCCCCAAAAUUACUAGUGUAAAACCAUUCAAACGGGAAAACCAACGGUCUAAUCUAUAUAAACAAAACGAGAAACGAGAAACACGUAUAUAUUACAUAAACAAACGAC
RNAcentral lists this long non-coding RNA (235 nucleotides) under Mytilus galloprovincialis (Mediterranean mussel). The record is from RNAcentral. Lineage: Eukaryota; Metazoa; Mollusca; Bivalvia; Mytilida; Mytilidae.